RNAcentral lists this long non-coding RNA (3393 nucleotides) under Pan troglodytes (chimpanzee). Its description in RNAcentral is "long non-coding RNA NONPTRT009586". The record is from RNAcentral. Lineage: Eukaryota; Metazoa; Chordata; Mammalia; Primates; Hominidae.
GAAAAAGUUAUCGGGAGCAGCCACAGAGCUGGGCCCUGGACAAGGUUUGUUGGGACGACAGGUGACUCUGGGCAGAUGGAACAGCCUCAGCCAAGGCCAUUCAGAGGAUCACAAGGAGCAUGGCUGUCGCGGCACAAGAUGCUCCCGGCAGGGAUGGAGUCUCUGUCACCCAGGCAAUGGCGCGAUCUUGGCUCACUGCAAUCUCUGCCACCCGAGUUCAAGCGAUUCUCCUGCCUCAGCCUCCCAAGUAGUAGGGAUUACAGGCACCCAACACCAUGCCCAGCUAGUUUUUUUAUUUUUAGUAGAGACAGGGUUUCACCAUGUUGGUCAGGCUGGUCUCAAACUCCUGACCUCAGGUGAUCCACCCGCCUCGGCCUCCCAAAGUGCUGGGAUUACAGACAUGAGCCACCGUGCCCGGCCGCCUUCAUAAAUUUUUCUAAGGGAUUCUCACAGGGACCAGAAAGGGGGAGAUGCUAUUAAUCCUACUUUGUAAAUGUGUCCCUGCAAACAGUACAGGGACAUCAAGGAACCUAUUUGGGGCAAGAUGGCCAUCCCAAGGAACGCUACCUCAAUACGGAGAAAGAGACUCUGCUGACACGAUAGAGUUGAGGGUUUUGGCAGAGGGAGAUGAGGCUGGAUUAACUGGCUAGGCCUGAUGCCAUCACAGGGUCCUAAGUGAGAAAGGCAGGAGGCUCAGAGUCAGCAGAGGGGAUGUGGCCACGGGAGCAGAGGUCGGAGAGAUGUCCUUGCAUCUGGAAGGGGCCAAAAGCCGAGGAAUGUGGGUGCCUCUGGGAACUGGAGCAGGCAAGGAAAUGGACUCACCCCCGCAGCCUCCAGCAGGGCCCCGUGCUGCUGAUGCCUUGACAUGAGGUGUUCAUGAGUCUCCUUUCCAACUGCUGUCCUCCGGAUCUGUACAAGACUAAAUCUAUGUUGUUUUAAGCUACUGCAUUUAUGAUAGUUUAUUACAGCAGCUACGGGACACUCAUAUAAUACCCAAGAGAGAUGUGUGCAUUCAUUUCACCAGGAGACCUGGAUGCGAAGGUUCACAGCAGCUUUACUGAUGACGGUUAGAAGGUGGAAAUAACUGAAGUUUCCUCAAAAGGUGAUGGAGGAACAUGGCGUGGUACGUCCACACGAUGCAAUGGGCACAGAUCCAGGCUGAUAACUAUCACUGGGCACAGAUCCAGGCUGGGGCCAAGAUGGGAACCUUUAUCUUUUGCUUCCUGGCCAGAGUGCUCUGCCCCAGCACCUGCCUUGUCAAAGCCCUGGUGGACCCGUGGGAUCGCCCAGUUCUUGCACCUUCACUGGGAGGAAAGCAGAGACGAUGACUCCAUUUUACAGUUGGGUAAAGUGAGGCUCAGGGCCAUGCUGCCCAGGGAGGAGCUGAAGAGAGACCCGAGGCCUGCUGGGGACCAGAUCUUCUCAAUGGUGGUUCCUUUUGGUAUCCUCUCUACAAGCCCAGUGCAGAGCCUGGCACGUGGGAGAGCUUUAUGGGAGUUUGCUGAAUAAAUGGCAGAGAGCAGGUGUGGUGUGAGCUCUGGUGGCUGGACUCACCUUCCCAUCCCCUGCAGACCUGUCCUCCUGACAGGGUCCAAUGUGCAAGGGUUUGGGGCACAGUUGGAGUGUCCUGACGGAUGUAGUCACUCUCAGGGGAUGUCAGUCCACGGACACAGAUGCAGCAAGGUCCCUGGAGCCCUGCCGGCCUCCCUGCAUACCCUCUGCGCUCUGAGGAAUGCUCUCUGCCGGGAUGGGGCACCUCGGGCAUGGCAUGGGAGGCCUCUAAUGUGGCCCAAGAUGUUUAAACAGAGUCCUACAGGCCCCAGCCUGAAUUGGGCCCUUGGACGAGGUCCCCAACACACACACACCAGAGCCCCAGCAAUUCACAAGCCGUGUGACCUUGGACGACGUCCCCAACACACACACCAGAGCCCCCAACACACACACACACACCAGAGCCCCCAAAACACACACACCAGACCCCAACACACACACCAGACUGUUGACUUUUUCCUUCUGCCCUCAGUCCCCCCAUCUGUAAAAUGUGGCUGCUCACAGCCCCCUACUCUGAUUCUACAUUGAGGCCUGUAGUAUGCAGCCCUAAGACAGCCUCCAAAGAAUCCACCUGCAGCUACUCACACCCUCCUUUGGUACCCAAAGGAGAACAAAGGAUAGGGACAGAACCAAGUGGCUCACUUGUAACAAAUGGAUAGAAUAGAAGUGACAGGCAUGGGAUGUCCCUUCCAAGGUUAGGCUCCAAAAAAGUGGGUUCCACUGGGCUCUGCACCUUGAACUCUCUCUCCCAGAGCCCUCUUUUUGGGUGGUCAGCUGUCAUGCCAUGAGCUACCCUGCGGAGAGGCCCACCCAGUGAGCAACUGACACCGCCAGCCAACACGUGAACCUACUACCAGCCACCUGAGUGAGCUGGGAAGUGUAUCCUCUCCAGCAGAGCCUUGAGAAUGACCACAGUCUCAGCCAAUGCUUUGACUGCAGCCUCCUGAGAGAGCCCAAGCCAGGAGACCCAACAAAGCCACACCAUGACUUACACCUUUCUGACUCACAGAAAGGGUUAAACGCUUGUUUUAAGCUGCUGACUUGUGGGGUACCUUGUUACACAGCACCAGCUAGCUAAUACAAAGCCUCAGGGCAGUGCUAGAGAUUCUGGGAGAGGGAGGAUCUUGGAGAUUGUGCAUCUGGACAUCCCUCUACUCUACCCUCAGGGAACGAGCCUCUGACCUUGGCCUGCACACCCCAGUGAUGGGGAGCUCCCUGCUUACUGAGGCCAGCAAAUCUGCUGUGGAGCCAGGCUGCCUGGGAAGGUCUUCCCUCUGCCUCCUGCUUCCUCUUCCUACUGGUGCCAGCAUGGCUCUGGGGGUUCCCUGGCACCAGCCCCAUCCUUCAGGGAUGUGUGGGUUCCCCCAGAGUGAGCUGGCGUCUGGAUCAGGCUUCUCUGCAUCACAGUUUCAUCCCCUUUUCUGCUUUUUUCUGCUUCAGGGGAGAGUUGUUGGGAGGCAAGUGAGGGCUCGGGCCCAGCCCUGCCAUUCAGUGUGCACCUGGCAGAGAGGACCCCAGGAUGCACCAAUCUUCACUCAGCCUUAGCUCAAAGUCACCAUCUCCACCCGCCUCAGUUUACUCAUCUGCUACAUGGAGAUUUCUGUGAGGACAUGAAACACUGCAUGUAACAACACUUGGCACACAGAAAGCACUCAAGAAAUGUAUGUCUAUUGAGUCGGGAGAAAACAUAUUCAAAGCGGGGCCGCGGAGAUGCUUGAGGGAAUUUUUACUUUGUCUUUAGCAAAAUAUCUUGCUGGGCCAUCUAGAUGGAUGCAGAUGGGGAGGGGACGAGGCAGUGGGGGUGUGUGUGUGUUUCUUGGGGGGGCUCUGUCUGUUGGGGGG